This 3248-nucleotide long non-coding RNA is filed under the name Marmota monax (woodchuck). Lineage: Eukaryota; Metazoa; Chordata; Mammalia; Rodentia; Sciuridae. The record is from RNAcentral.
GGAGGGGCCUGGGGAGCAGGGGGGGGUGCCUGGGGAGCAGGUGGGAGGGGCCUGUGGGUGCCGGCUCCAGGAAGCCCCCCUGGCCCCCAGCUCUGAACUCGCACCCAGCAGCUGAGCAGUGGGCAGAGAAAGGCUGCCUGGCCCUGUCCACCGUGUCCAGCUCACAGACGGGGAAGCGGAGCCUGCCUCGCCCUGCACCCUGGGUGACACCUUAGAGGGGGGAGGGGGACGGGAACAUGUCCCCUGUACGACGCAGCCCCAGCAGAGGACAGUGCCAACCGUGUCCCUGGACCAGAGGCCCCGACCCGUGGGGCUCAAAGGCCAAGGAGUCUCCGCACACAGGGGUGGCCCUGGGCCUCCUCUGCUCCCCUGACCUGGGCCUCGGCCUCCCCGUCUGCGAGGUGCGCUGCUGUGGCCCUGUGGUGCUCAGGCCGUGUGCCCAGUCACGGGAGGCCCACGCCCGUCCCUCCAUGGGUCCCCUCCGUGGCUGGCAGAGACCGUGGCAGAGCCACGCGACAGACUCACUCAGCACCAAGAGGAAAUGCGCCAUCGGGCCGUGGGCAGCCACGGGACCCUCGAAUCUUGACCAAGUGAAGCCAGGAGCUGCGAGGGCCACUGCUUCCCGAGGCCACCCGACGUCACCCUGCUGGGAAGGAAGAGUCCAGAGUGAAGAGAGGGGUGGCUGCUGGGGACAGGGACAAACGGGCACACGGAGGACACCGAGGGCCGUGAAGGCCCCUCUGUGACACUGAGAUGGCAGAGGCGUGCCACCACGCCCUGGGACAGCCCACGGAACACACAAGGCACGUGACUCGCAAGGCGACGUUGGGUCCCAUCAUCGAGGACGAGGACCUGACAAACGUCCCACGUCAACGCGGGUGUCAGCGGCUGGGGAGGGAGGGGACGGAGCUCUCCGCUGUCCGCAAGUUUUCUUCAUUCAGGAAGUUUUCAGUCGACACGGGAUACUUACGGGGUGACCCCUUGAGGGUCCAGUGUGUGCCAACAGUCACGGCCACCUUGGGGCAGAGCCGUCCUGCUCUCGUUUCCACAGACCUCUCGCUGGCCUCAAGGAGGGAAGGCUGUAGCUGGCCGGGGUGGCCGUGACCACUGCUCCUCGGAGGCUGAGGCAGGAGGACCCCAAGUUUGAGGCCAGCCUGGGCCACUCGGCGAGAACCCACCUUCAAAUGGGGGUGUGGCUCUGUGGCAGUGCCCCCCGGCCUCAUCCCCAGUGCCAACUAGGCCUGGGGACACCCCUCCCCUGGACCCAGGAAGGCCCCCCACCUGCCCAGGGGAGUCCAGGGGCAGCUGGGCUGAGGGCUCUGGGCUGCACCCGUCUCCCCGACUCCCGGGGAGUGUGCGGCCCUGAGUGGGCGCCGAGACGUCCCUGCGGAGUUAGGACGUCCUGGUGGGAGACAAUCAGGAGAGAGACGUCCCCUGUGCUUCGGGGGAGUCAGCGAGAGACACGCGGCCGGAAAACUGGUGGAGACCUGCGUGUGGGCGGGGGGCGGCGGGGGCUCCUGCUCGGCUGUGGUCACCUCACAGAGCAGCGCGUGUCCCCCUUCUCCAGCCAGAAGAACCGAGGCCCGUGGGGACGUGACAGCCUCGUUCUCACCACUGGAACGUGAACUUGAACCUCCUUGGUCACAGGUGCUCCUAGGGUCUGGGCCUGGGGACAGAGGCCUUCCCCACCAGGCCAGCUGGGCCUUCCACCCUCGCUGGGCAGAACCUCGGGGCUCUAGCAGGAUCACGUGGCUUCUCCAACCCCCAGGACAGGGCUUGGAGGAAGGGACUGUCCCCUCCAUUUUGGAAGGGGAAACCCGAUACCGGCUUCUCCCCCAGGGAACCGACCACUUCCUUCCAAGUGACCCCCGGGAGCCUCCGCCAUCUGUUCCAACUCCCCAGGGGCCACUCUGCUCAGCAGAGCCUCGUCCAGUGGCCUCCCUUCCUUCCGCCCCAUCCCAGAGAGCACUUGGCGGGCGAGAGGGAGCCGGCCCCACCCGUGAGUCUGCGGAAAACCGAGACGGCCGCGGCCGGGAGGGGAGGCGAGGCCGGGAGGGGAGGCCGGGAUGGGGGAGGACGCCAGGUGGGAACCAGGCCAUUCAGCUGCAGGGAGACCUGUGGGGGGCCGAGGAAGAGGGGUCAGAGGGAGCAGGGGAGGUGCUGGCCAGGCACCAAGAGGGACAAGUCACUCCAGGGUUGUCAGUGCUUGUCCCCUCAGAGGGCAGAAGAUCCUGUCCUCCCGCUCCUCUUCCUCAGGCAGAGCCACCUGGAAGGAGGUCCCAGACUUGGGGCUGGGGGACAGCCCAGGACCCCAGGCUCCCUGCCGUUGGGCCCCCUCCCCUGACCGCCCAGGACCCCAGGCUCCCUGCCGUUGGGCCCCCUCCCCUGACCGCCCAGGACCCCAGGCUCCCUGCCGUUGGGCCUCCUCCCCUGACCGUGAACCAGGCACCUGCUCCUGCAGCUAAAACCCUCCCCACUUCCAAGUCAGCGAAGGGAGGCCUGGGGGCUCCCCAUUUUACCCGGAGUUCACCCCGCCACUUAGCAGCGGCAGCGGGAUGUGAACAUGCACGUGCACCACGCCGAAUGCCCACGAGCUUGAGACCCCUGGGAGACAGGGACAGAGACCGCGUCACCUGCGCACCCCCUGCACCUAGCAGAGCUGGGCGUGCAGCAGACCCACUGUGUGUGCGGAGGACCCAUGGGCAACCUGGGGGGGCUGUGUCCACUCCCCCACCCAAUCCCCUUGUCCUUCAGGACACGCGGCUAAGCUACCCUCCCCAGGCCCCUGCACGAGGCAGAGCCCUCGGAUGAGUCUGCUCAGGAGAAUACGGGCCAAGUGACAUGUGCAGGGGACAGGCCUGGUCCACAGACAUGUCUGCAAAAUUCUCCACCCUCUGUCCCCACAGCUGCCUGGAUCCUGAGCACCGUGGGGGUGGGGGGGAGCAGAGCCUGGAUCCCCGGGAGCCCAGGGUGGGGGGGACAGAGCCUGGAUCCCCAGGUGCCCCGGGGGGAGCAGAGCCUGGAUCCUCAUGUGCCCCAGGGGGGGACAGAGCCUGGAUCCCCAGGUGCCCCGGGGGGAGCAGAGCCUGGAUCCUCAUGUGCCCCAGGGGGGGACAGAGCCUGGAUCCCCAGGUGCCCCAGGGGGAGCAGAGCCUGGAUCCCCAGGUGCCCCAGGGGAGCAGAGCCUGGAUCCCCAGGUGCCCGGGGGAGCAGAGCCUGGAUCCCCAGGUGCCGCAGGGGGAGCAGAG